AAAUUGAAGAGUUUGAUCAUGGCUCAGAUUGAACGCUGGCGGCAGGCCUAACACAUGCAAGUCGAACGGUAACAGGAAGCAGCUUGCUGCUUCGCUGACGAGUGGCGGACGGGUGAGUAAUGUCUGGGAAACUGCCUGAUGGAGGGGGAUAACUACUGGAAACGGUAGCUAAUACCGCAUAACGUCGCAAGACCAAAGAGGGGGACCUUCGGGCCUCUUGCCAUCGGAUGUGCCCAGAUGGGAUUAGCUAGUAGGUGGGGUAACGGCUCACCUAGGCGACGAUCCCUAGCUGGUCUGAGAGGAUGACCAGCCACACUGGAACUGAGACACGGUCCAGACUCCUACGGGAGGCAGCAGUGGGGAAUAUUGCACAAUGGGCGCAAGCCUGAUGCAGCCAUGCCGCGUGUAUGAAGAAGGCCUUCGGGUUGUAAAGUACUUUCAGCGGGGAGGAAGGGAG
This 457-nucleotide ribosomal RNA is filed under the name Escherichia coli. RNAcentral's name for it is "bacterial SSU rRNA". It matches the Rfam family "Bacterial small subunit ribosomal RNA", at positions 1 to 454 of the family's 1533-position model. Lineage: Bacteria; Pseudomonadati; Pseudomonadota; Gammaproteobacteria; Enterobacterales; Enterobacteriaceae. The record is from RNAcentral.